UCAAGCUUUUUCAUUUUUCUUUCCUUGUUUUCUUUUCGUUGCUUUUCUUUUCUUACUUCAUCCUUCCCUUAACUUCUUGGGCACCAAAACCACAGCUUCUAACCCCAUUUUUCAGCAUAUCUAAACCCUAGGAGAGAGAAAGAAAAAACUCUUUUCCUUUUCUUCCUUUUCUAUUUCUACUCCAUUUCCAUCAAUACUUGAAUUUUCGACUACAGAUCUUCAUUUUAAAGCCAAUAGGUUUUGUUGAUCUUCAUGCCUUCAAGCAUCAAGGGUUUAAUGGUAUUUUGGGACUACCUGGACUAAGAUCAUGUGGACACAAGUUUCGUUAGGUGGCAUUGUUAAGAUUUCAAGUUCGAAGAUAGUUGGAUCUUAGGUAGAGGCGCUUCCUCCUGUUCAUCUUACGUUUUACCGUGCUAAAGGCUAAAAGCAAAUACUAAAAGCACAUGCAACAAUUACGUGUCGGGAAAAGUUUUGAAAGACAUGCUCAUGCAUUAUUAUCUCCGUACAAGGUGGUUCAAUUUUUCAGCACUGGUCAUAUUUCUAUGUGAUGUUACAUCGGAGAUUAUUUUAAUUGUUGCUGUACUGUUUUCUUGGGUUUAUAUAUAUAGGAAGGGAUAAGGAUUCAUCCCUCAAAUUUUUUU
Non-coding RNA from Theobroma cacao (cacao), 641 nucleotides. The record is from RefSeq and is a predicted model, not a curated record. NCBI's taxonomy places the organism in Eukaryota, Viridiplantae, Streptophyta, Magnoliopsida, Malvales, Malvaceae.